This 439-nucleotide ribosomal RNA is filed under the name uncultured bacterium. RNAcentral's name for it is "partial 16S ribosomal RNA". It matches the Rfam family "Bacterial small subunit ribosomal RNA", at positions 339 to 795 of the family's 1533-position model. The record is from RNAcentral.
CUACGGGUGGCAGCAGUGAGGAAUCUUCCACAAUGGGCGAAAGCCUGAUGGAGCGACACCGCGUGAAGGAUGAAGGCCUAACGGUUGUAAACUUCUUUUCUGAAGGAGCAUAAUGAGAGUACUUUAGGAAUAAGGGACGGCUAAAUACGUGCCAGCAGCCGCGGUAAUACGUAUGUCUCGAGCGCUACCCGGAAUUACUGGGUGUAAAGGGUCCGUAGGCGGGUUUGCAAGUUGGAUAUGAAAGACCGGAGCUCAACUUCGUGUUUGUAUCCAAAACUACAAAUCUAGAAUUAGGGAGAGGUAAGCGGAAUUCUGAGUGUAGGAGUGCAAUCCGUAGAUACUCAGAGGAACACCAAAAGCGAAGGCAGCUUACUGGAACUAUAUUGACGCUGAGGGACGAAAGCGUGGGUAGCGAAAAGGAUUAGAUACCCUGGUAGUC